AUGAGACCUAACUACUGCCUGACCAUCUUUCAACUGUCCAUCUUGGCAAGACUCAGUGCAGCGAGUGGUGAGCAUGACAAUACCACAAUGAAGAAUGAAAUAAGCCAUGUUGAGACCACCACAGUUUCAUGGACAACUCUGGCGAACCCAAAACCCCCCAACACAUUAUGGCCAUUUGUGUUUCGUGCUUUUGGAAUAAAGCUGUUUUUCGUCGUAAUCAUAACUUUACACCUGUGUCUUAAAACAAAGCAAAAAUGCAAAGGUGAGGCUGAUGAUUUUUACAUCCCAUGGCUGACUGAAGCCUCAGGGUCAGUCAACACUGCACUCUGCAGCUCUAUCCUGCUGAAAGGACACAUUACAUUCAUAUGA
Molecule: long non-coding RNA, 369 nt
Filed under: Mastacembelus armatus (zig-zag eel)
Lineage: Eukaryota; Metazoa; Chordata; Actinopteri; Synbranchiformes; Mastacembelidae
Description: lncRNA (ENSMAMG00000028709.1)
Source: RNAcentral